This 548-nucleotide ribosomal RNA is filed under the name Lactifluus porphyreus. RNAcentral's name for it is "Lactifluus sp. 12 HL-2019 partial large subunit ribosomal RNA". Lineage: Eukaryota; Fungi; Basidiomycota; Agaricomycetes; Russulales; Russulaceae. The record is from RNAcentral.
AACUGCGAGUGAAGCGGGAAAAGCUCAAAUUUAAAAUCUAAUGGUCUUUGGCCAUUCGAGUUGUAAUUUAGAGAAGCGUCUUCCGCGCCAGACCAUGUACAAGUCUCCUGGAACGGAGCGUCGUAGAGGGUGAGAAUCCCGUCUUUGACAUGGACCCUYGGUGCUUCUGUGAUGCGCUCUCAAAGAGUCGAGUUGUUUGGGAAUGCAGCUCAAAAUGGGUGGUGAACUCCAUCUAAGGCUAAAUAUUGGCGAGAGACCGAUAGCGAACAAGUACCGUGAGGGAAAGAUGAAAAGCACUUUGGAAAGAGAGUGAAACAGUACGUGAAAUUGUUGAAAGGGAAACACUUGAAGUCAGUCGCGUCGAUCGAGACUCAGCCUUGCCUUGGCUCGGCGUACUUCUCGACUUGACGGGCCAGCAUCAAUUUCGUCCCUCGGAUAAUGGCAGGGGAAAGGUGGCACCUUCACGGGUGUGUUAUAGUCUCUUGUCGCAUACGAGGGGUGGGAUUGAGGAACUCAGCACGCGCCUCACGGUGUCGGGGCUUCGGCCC